Molecule: ribosomal RNA, 959 nt
Filed under: Metapochonia goniodes
Lineage: Eukaryota; Fungi; Ascomycota; Sordariomycetes; Hypocreales; Clavicipitaceae
Description: SSU rRNA
Rfam family: Eukaryotic small subunit ribosomal RNA
Source: RNAcentral
UUAUUUGAUAGUACCUUACUACUUGGAUAACCGUGGUAAUUCUAGAGCUAAUACAUGCUAAAAAUCCCGACUUCGGAAGGGAUGUAUUUAUUAGAUUAAAAACCAAUGCCCUCUGGGCUCUCUGGUGAUUCAUGAUAACUUCUCGAAUCGCAUGGCCUUGCGCCGGCGAUGGUUCAUUCAAAUUUCUUCCCUAUCAACUUUCGAUGUUUGGGUAGUGGCCAAACAUGGUUGCAACGGGUAACGGAGGGUUAGGGCUCGACCCCGGAGAAGGAGCCUGAGAAACGGCUACUACAUCCAAGGAAGGCAGCAGGCGCGCAAAUUACCCAAUCCCGAUUCGGGGAGGUAGUGACAAUAAAUACUGAUACAGGGCUCUUUUGGGUCUUGUAAUUGGAAUGAGUACAAUUUAAAUCCCUUAACGAGGAACAAUUGGAGGGCAAGUCUGGUGCCAGCAGCCGCGGUAAUUCCAGCUCCAAUAGCGUAUAUUAAAGUUGUUGUGGUUAAAAAGCUCGUAGUUGAACCUUGGGCCUGGUUGGCCGGUCCGCCUCACCGCGUGUACUGGUCCGGCCGGGCCUUUCCCUCUGUGGAACCCCAUGCCCUUCACUGGGUGUGGCGGGGAAACAGGACUUUUACUUUGAAAAAAUUAGAGUGCUCCAGGCAGGCCUAUGCUCGAAUACAUUAGCAUGGAAUAAUAAAAUAGGACGUGCGGUUCUAUUUUGUUGGUUUCUAGGACCGCCGUAAUGAUUAAUAGGGACAGUCGGGGGCAUCAGUAUUCAAUUGUCAGAGGUGAAAUUCUUGGAUUUAUUGAAGACUAACUACUGCGAAAGCAUUUGCCAAGGAUGUUUUCAUUAAUCAGGAACGAAAGUUAGGGGAUCGAAGACGAUCAGAUACCGUCGUAGUCUUAACCAUAAACUAUGCCGACUAGGGAUCGGACGAUGUUAUUUUUUGACUCGUUCGGCACC